Non-coding RNA from Vicugna pacos (alpaca), 3937 nucleotides. The record is from RefSeq and is a predicted model, not a curated record. Lineage: Eukaryota; Metazoa; Chordata; Mammalia; Artiodactyla; Camelidae.
AACAUCCAGGUAGCUGCUUGAAACGAUUCUUUUUGGAGGAGGAAGGAGGGUGGGUGAGGGAAGGGAAAUUAGCUUGCGUGAGCUCGUAAAUCACUCUCUCACUGGUACGAUCACAUCUAACCUUCAGUAUGGCCCUAGAAGCUGGAUGCUCAUCCAACCCAUUUUCCAGGUGAGGAGACUGAGGCUCAGAGAGCUCAGUGACUAACUCGUCAAGGUCACACCACUUGUGCCCGCUGCCUGGUCCACCCAUCAGGCUACCUCCUCAGCACCCUCUAAUCUCUGAGCCUGAGGCCCCAUUGUCACACAGGCACGUCUGCUGCCACUCAUACCUGUGCGCAGACCUAACCAAGGGAGAUGGGAUGUGCUGCAACCCCCUCAUCUACAAUGGGCACUCCACCCCACCCAGAGACAGCCUCCCAGACGAAGGGGCUGCCCUAAGGUACCAACAGGCAGCAUCCUGGAUGUUUCCUUAUCCCAUGGAGAAGUUUUUUUGGGGAGGGAAAUUGUUUGUUUUUUGUUUUUGUUUAUUUCUCAGUCACCUUUCCCAAGAAAUUCUGACUCAACAGGUACAACAAAAAUGCCUGACACAUAGCCUGGGCCGAACAAUAUAAUCUUUACUUGGUCUCAUUUUCUUGCCACCUCCUGGGCCAGCACCCGAAGACAGUCUAUUCCUGUACCCCCAGGACUUCUAAUAGCACCCUCUUAAUUCUGUCCAGGAAAAGAAGCUCCACCUUCAGAUGUGUUUUAAAGAGUUUUAGAGAAACGGAAGUAAAAACCCAAACCCCAGCCUGGUAGCAAAAACAAAGAACCAAAACACACCGGUUGCCUCCCCCGUCUCCUGCAGCACAAGCUGCGGGGUGAACACAGGAACCAAUACACACAGCCAUCGUCUUCCUCAGGUCCCUGGAACUCGACUCCAAGAUCUGCACAGAUGUAAACUACAUAACCAGUGGGGUGAGGACGGUACAGACACAAACAUCAGCUGGUACCAAAGGAGGCUUCGCUGGAAAAGGAGGUGUCCGCUUCCAACACUUGCAGGAAAAGAACGGGAGACCAUGAUCUGCAAUGAUGUGAAAGCCAUCCUGACUACAAUAACGACAGGAAGAGCAUCCUCGGCAGGGCCCCGGCGGCACCCGCGGGCGUGGGGAAGUUCGGUCCGCCAUCCCAGAGGAGCCUCACCCACGGACCCACGCCAGACACACACUCCACCAGGCCACACGCCACCCAGAGCCUGCCUGCCAGCUAACAGCUUUUGUUUACUUUCCAGCAGCUAGGCUCAGGCAGUGACCGCCUCAGGCAUGAGGAUUAUCCAGGUGCAGUGGGGUACCAUGCUGCUCGGCACGACCUGCUGCUAGAAUGGUACGCAGCACAUGGCACACUGGGUCAGCUAGACAUCUGAAGGGAUGGAAUGCUCCAGGUGUCCCAUUUCCUGCCCACCCCCCAACCUGGUUCCCAUUAAAUCAUCCAGGAAAAAUUAUUCAAUAAACCUGCGCUGCGUUUCCUGGCUCAGGCUGUGAAGAUACCAGAAAGUAUAGGAACUAGGGAGUCUGAGCUUGGGAAGCAAAAGCAGCAGAAGGAAGAGCGGUGGUGCCUCAGGCCAGCAGCCGCACUGGGGCUUGCAUGUCAGCCUCACUGCCUGCAGGUUUUUAGACCUUGGGCAAGUCAUUUCAGCACCGAGGCUCAUAGCAGAUGGUGUCUACCUUAUAAAGCUAAGGUGUGGGUUAAAUAAGAUAAUGCACAUCAAAGAAUAAAGGCUGCCACAUGUUAGUCAUUUACUAUGGGCCAGGAACUGCGUGCUAAGUGCUUUGUGUAGAUUAUUUCAUCGGGGCCUUACAACUUCCCUGUAAAGUAGGCACCACAUCCUCAAAUUCAGGUAAGGAAACCAAGACUCAGAGAAAUCAAAGCACCUACCCAAACGCACACAGCUCAUAAGAAUCAGCUAGAGCACACACCCAGGCCAGUCAGACUCCAAAGCCCUAGGCUCUGCUCUCCUGUCUGACAGGUGCUCAAAACACAUUAUAUAACAUGUAAAUGCCGAACUGGAGGCUGCUGGCUCUCCACCCAGGAGACAUAUGGAGACAAGAGGGGGAGUUUUGGCUGAGAGCAUUUAGGAAGACUUCCUGAAGUAGUUAGGGCUCAAUCUCUUUCUUGGAGGGUGAGGAUGGAGGAAGGCCAAGGAGAAAAGGAAGGGACUGCAAACUAGAAAAACCACAGCAAAGAGCUGGAGGCAGGGGUGACCCCGGCAGGCAGGCACAGUGGCAGCGGAGACCAGACAGGCUAGAGAAAGAGAGAAAGGGGGGCUGCUCUGAGCAAGGGAUGGGCGCCUGGGCCAUUAUCUUGGGAGCCAUUCAACCUGUGAUCCUUCUCACCCACACCCCAGGGAUGGUCCUGCGGCUGCUCUUUUGGUCACACAGUCAACAUGGAGGGAAUCAAGAAUUACGACUAUAAAGGCCCUACCUCCCCUAAGUAGGCUUGGAACCCUGACGAGCAGGUGGUUUUGCCAACUCCCGCCUGUGCUGCUGUGCCAACCUGCCAGGCCCAAGCUCCAGCCAAGCUCCAGGACACCAGGAAUCUGAACGCUGCCAGGUGCACGUGAAGUCAGGGAUGCCAGAUGCCGGCUUCCUCCUCCUCCCAGAACAGGUACCCCCUGAGCACGCCCGUGCUCAGGUACUGCUCCAAAUGCUGAAAGCUACAACACCCUCCCGCUGUCUCAGCUCUCCACCAAGCCCAGCCCAGGCCCCGGGCCCGCAAAGAAGGGAAAGUGAGGUGGAGGAGAUCUCAGCAACUCUGCUCAUUUGACCGUCACAUGCUUUUUUGGAAGUAACAGGACCUGGAGGAAGGAGAGGAUGAAACAGAACUGUAUAAAGGUCUGUUGGUCACAUGGCCUCCUUCCACCCUGCUCAGGAGAAGGGCAAAGGGGAAGUGAUGAAGGGGCUUUGUGGGCUGGUCACUCUGAGCCUCCAGAUGGAAGCUGCCUGGGAUGGGCAGGGGCGCCUAUGUCGUUACCUUUUACCCACGAGUCUGUAGGCAAAUUACUUAACUCUAUGGACCCUUGAUCUCCUGACCUAUUACAUGGAGAUAAUAACCAAUGACCACACAGGAUGACUGUGAACACUGACAUGUGAAUGCAGACAUGAUUAGCAAACUGUAAAGUAUCCUUAGAAAUAGCAGACAUUUUCCCCAGUCCUGGGAGGUGGGGGCUUCAGGUCAGAACACACAACUGUAAGGGAAAAGAUAAACUAGGAACCCAUUCCAUUUGGCAAACUUUUUCCAACACCUUCUAGGACAAGGCACAAGUCUCCAGGGAUUCAAACAUUGAGACUUAUUUCACAAAGUCUUUGUGAGUGCUUGCUGUGGGCCAGGCUGUUCUAAGUAUCUACGUGGCCCGUCUCAUAUAAUUCUUGUAAAAACCCUAUGAAUGGGUCACAGAUGACAAAACUGAAGCACAAAGAAAUUCACUCCUCUCAUGGCCUCACACAGCUGGUAAAUGGUGGAACUGGUAUUUGAACCCAUCAGAGUCUGCUCCUUCGGCAUAUGGUCAACCAAGACGAGUCUCAGACUCUCUAUGUGGCUGAAGGCUCUGAUAAGGCCUGCAGAGAUGAGUCAGUGAGGGAGGGCCCCAACUCACUCAUGGCUUCUCCUGCCCCUGGGCAGCUCUGACUCCUGGGCCAGGGUCCCACUCACACUGCUCCUGGUGUGUCCUGGAAGUUGGCCACACCUCUGCACUCCCCAAGGCUCCAUGUGAGUACCAAAUACCGAGGAAGGUUGAUGUAAGAACCUAUAUGUCAAUGUACAUUUACAUAACAGAUCACUCAUGAAGUAAUUUGUUCUUAUUGUAAAAGAUAGUCCAGGGGGGUGGGAAGGGAUUGAUUGGGAGUUCAAAAUUUGUAGAUACUGACAGGCAUAUGCAGAAUAGAUAAACAAGAUUAUACUGUAC